Molecule: transfer RNA, 72 nt
Filed under: Strongylocentrotus purpuratus (purple sea urchin)
Lineage: Eukaryota; Metazoa; Echinodermata; Echinoidea; Camarodonta; Strongylocentrotidae
Description: tRNA-Arg
Rfam family: tRNA
About the family: Transfer RNA (tRNA) molecules are approximately 80 nucleotides in length.
Source: Rfam by way of RNAcentral
GCCUCCGGGCCUAAUGGAUAAGGCAUCGGUUUUCUAAACCGGGGAUUGUGGGUUCGAGUCCCACCGGAGGUA